UAUUUUCGGUAUUCUAUCCAGUAUUCGAUAGAUGUAAUUCCUACUUUUUCAAGUAUUUUAUCCUUGAUAUACUCAUCUUAACCAGUGACGGAUAUCCUUCCUUUAAGUCUAUCCUUGAUAUGUUCAUCCUAACUGAUGAUAGAUUUCUAUCCUUUGAGUCUAUCCUUGAUAUAUUCACUUCAACCGGUGACGGAUAUUCUCUCCUUUUGGUCUUUUGCCCAGUAACUGGUAGUUGUAAGUCCUACUUUUUCGCUUUUCC
This 259-nucleotide long non-coding RNA is filed under the name Lathyrus oleraceus (garden pea). RNAcentral's name for it is "Pisum sativum (pea) long non-coding RNA (PSAT_LNC019106)". Lineage: Eukaryota; Viridiplantae; Streptophyta; Magnoliopsida; Fabales; Fabaceae. The record is from RNAcentral.